This 207-nucleotide ribosomal RNA is filed under the name uncultured bacterium. RNAcentral's name for it is "partial 16S ribosomal RNA". It matches the Rfam family "Bacterial small subunit ribosomal RNA", at positions 568 to 774 of the family's 1533-position model. The record is from RNAcentral.
CGUGAAGGCGGCUAUUUAAGUCAUCUGUUAAAGAGCUCAGCUUAACUGAGCAAAUGCAGGCGAUACCGAAAAGCUAGAGUACAGAAGAGAAAGGUAGAAUUCUCGGAGUAGCGGUAAAAUGCGUAGAUCUCGAGAGGAAUACCGGUUGCGAAGGCGGCCUUUUGGUCUGUAACUGACGCUCAAGCGCGAAAGCGUGGGGAGCAAACA